GACGAACGCUGGCGGCGUGCUUAACACAUGCAAGUCGAACGGAAAGGCCCUGCUUUUGUGGGGUGCUCGAGUGGCGAACGGGUGAGUAACACGUGAGUAACCUGUCCUUGACUUUGGGAUAACUUCAGGAAACUGGGGCUAAUACCGGAUAGGAGCUCCUGCUGCAUGGUGGGGGUUGGAAAGUUUCGGCGGUUGGGGAUGGACUCGCGGCUUAUCAGCUUGUUGGUGGGGUAGCGGCUUACCAAGGCUUUGACGGGUAGCCGGCCUGAGAGGGUGACCGGCCACAUUGGGACUGAGAUACGGCCCAGACUCCUACGGGAGGCAGCAGUGGGGAAUAUUGCACAAUGGGCGGAAGCCUGAUGCAGCAACGCCGCGUGCGGGAUGACGGCCUUCGGGUUGUAAACCGCUUUCGCCUGUGACGAAGCGUGAGUGACGGUAAUGGGUAAAGAAGCACCGGCUAACUACGUG
RNAcentral lists this ribosomal RNA (468 nucleotides) under uncultured bacterium. Its description in RNAcentral is "partial 16S ribosomal RNA". It matches the Rfam family "Bacterial small subunit ribosomal RNA", at positions 28 to 507 of the family's 1533-position model. The record is from RNAcentral.